GGCGGCGUGCUUAACACAUGCAAGUCGAGCGGAAAGGCGCUUCGGGGUACUCGAGCGGCGAACGGGUGAGUAACACGUGAGCAACCCGCCCCAGGCUUUGGGAUAACCCCGGGAAACCGGGGCUAAUACCGGAUAUGACCUUGCACCGCAUGGUGUUUGGUGGAAAGUUUUUCGGCUUGGGAUGGGCUCGCGGCCUAUCAGCUUGUUGGUGGGGUGAUGGCCUACCAAGGCGACGACGGGUAGCCGGCCUGAGAGGGCGACCGGCCACACUGGGACUGAGACACGGCCCAGACUCCUACGGGAGGCAGCAGUGGGGAAUAUUGCACAAUGGGCGGAAGCCUGAUGCAGCGACGCCGCGUGAGGGAUGACGGCCUUCGGGUUGUAAACCUCUUUCAGCAGGGACGAAGCGUAAGUGACGGUACCUGCAGAAGAAGCGCCGGCCAACUACGUGCCAGCAGCCGCGGUAAGACGUAGGGCGCGAGCGUUGUCCGGAUUUAUUGGGCGUAAAGAGCUCGUAGGCGGCUUGUCGCGUCGACCGUGAAAACUUGGGGCUCAACCCCAGGCCUGCGGUCGAUACGGGCAGGCUAGAGUUCGGUAGGGGAGACUGGAAUUCCUGGUGUAGCGGUGAAAUGCGCAGAUAUCAGGAGGAACACCGGUGGCGAAGGCGGGUCUCUGGGCCGAUACUGACGCUGAGGAGCGAAAGCGUGGGGAGCGAACAGGAUUAGAUACCCUGGUAGUCCACGCUGUAAACGUUGGGCGCUAGGUGUGGGGGGCCUCUCCGGUUCCCUGUGCCGCAGCUAACGCAUUAAGCGCCCCGCCUGGGGAGUACGGCCGC
Molecule: ribosomal RNA, 835 nt
Filed under: Micromonospora sp. IM-3018
Lineage: Bacteria; Bacillati; Actinomycetota; Actinomycetes; Micromonosporales; Micromonosporaceae
Description: bacterial SSU rRNA
Rfam family: Bacterial small subunit ribosomal RNA
Source: RNAcentral